UAAUACGGAGGGGGCCAGCGUUGUUCGGAAUCAUUGGGCGUAAAGGGCGCGUAGGCGGCUUGGUAAGUCCGUUGUGAAAUCCCUCGGCUCAACCGAGGAACUGCGACGGAUACUGCUUGGCUUGAGUCCCGGAGAGGGUAGCGGAAUUCCCAGUGUAGCGGUGAAAUGCGUAGAUAUUGGGAGGAACAUCGGUGGCGAAGGCGGCUACCUGGACGGGUACUGACGCUGAUGCGCGAAAGCUAGGGGAGCAAACAGGAUUAGAUACCCUGGUAGUCCUAGCUGUAAACGAUGGGCACUUGGUGUUGCGGGUAUCGACCCCUGCAGUGCCGAAGCUAACGCAUUAAGUGCCCCGCCUGGGGAGUACGGUCGCAAGGCUG
This 377-nucleotide ribosomal RNA is filed under the name uncultured bacterium. Its description in RNAcentral is "bacterial SSU rRNA". It matches the Rfam family "Bacterial small subunit ribosomal RNA", at positions 521 to 896 of the family's 1533-position model. The record is from RNAcentral.